CCUCUCAUUUAUGUAUCCAAGAACGACGCCGACUCUAAAUCACUCUAUGUCAAUUUGGAUGAUAAUGUGAGUCACCAGAAAGAAAGGUUCUUUUUGGUUUUCCAUACCUCAGAUUGAGUUAGAUGAGCUGGAAAGUGUUUCCAUUCUGUCAAUGACCCUUGCAUGGGAUGAAUUUUCCUUCUCUACUUUUCAAGAAGCCCAUUAUUCGCUUCAAGAUUCUCUAGACCAGUUUUUACACCUUUGUGAAUGAAAAAAGGGAAUCUUUCAUUAUGGUUUGGUUGGGCCUUUCUCUUUGUUUUCUAUAAUCUAGAGGAUCCUUAUCUUCUUGGGUUCUGAAAAAAUAAAAACAUCAACUCCCUCCUGUAUUUAUGCUUGAUGUUAUUUCCUACG
This is a long non-coding RNA of Glycine soja, 390 nucleotides long. RefSeq lists it as uncharacterized. The transcript has 3 exons. Lineage: Eukaryota; Viridiplantae; Streptophyta; Magnoliopsida; Fabales; Fabaceae. The record is from RefSeq and is a predicted model, not a curated record.